This 800-nucleotide ribosomal RNA is filed under the name Arthrobacter sp. JSM 102074. RNAcentral describes it as "bacterial SSU rRNA". It matches the Rfam family "Bacterial small subunit ribosomal RNA", at positions 36 to 848 of the family's 1533-position model. The record is from RNAcentral. Lineage: Bacteria; Bacillati; Actinomycetota; Actinomycetes; Micrococcales; Micrococcaceae.
CGGGGGGGCGUGCUUACACAUGCAGUCGAACGAUGAAGCCCUGCUUGCAGGGUGGAUUAGUGGCGAACGGGUGAGUAACACGUGAGUAACCUGCCCCUGACUCUGGGAUAAGCCCGGGAAACUGGGUCUAAUACCGGAUAUGACUUCCUACUGCAUGGUGGGUUGUUGAAAGAUUUAUCGGUGGGGGAUGGACUCGCGGCCUAUCAGCUUGUUGGUGAGGUAAUGGCUCACCAAGGCGACGACGGGUAGCCGGCCUGAGAGGGUGACCGGCCACACUGGGACUGAGACACGGCCCAGACUCCUACGGGAGGCAGCAGUGGGGAAUAUUGCACAAUGGGCGGAAGCCUGAUGCAGCGACGCCGCGUGAGGGAUGACGGCCUUCGGGUUGUAAACCUCUUUCAGUAGGGAAGAAGCGAAAGUGACGGUACCUGCAGAAGAAGCGCCGGCUAACUACGUGCCAGCAGCCGCGGUAAUACGUAGGGCGCAAGCGUUAUCCGGAUUUAUUGGGCGUAAAGAGCUCGUAGGCGGUUUGUCGCGUCUGCCGUGAAAGUCCGAGGCUCAACCUCGGAUCUGCGGUGGGUACGGGCAGACUAGAGUGAUGUAGGGGAGACUGGAAUUCCUGGUGUAGCGGUGAAAUGCGCAGAUAUCAGGAGGAACACCGAUGGCGAAGGCAGGUCUCUGGGCAUUUACUGACGCUGAGGAGCGAAAGCAUGGGGAGCGAACAGGAUUAGAUACCCUGGUAGUCCAUGCCGUAAACGUUGGGCACUAGGUGUGGGGGACAUUCCACGUUUUCCGCGCCG